UCGAACCUACGGGGCGCAGCAGUCGGGAAUAUUGCGCAAUGGAGGAAACUCUGACGCAGUGACGCCGCGUAUAGGAAGAAGGUCUUCGGAUUGUAAACUAUUGUCGUUAGGGAAGAGAAAGGACAGUACCUAAGGAGGAAGCUCCGGCUAACUACGUGCCAGCAGCCGCGGUAAUACGUAGGUGGCAAGCGUUAUCCGGAAUUAUUGGGCGUAAAGAGCGCGCAGGUGGUUAAUUAAGUCUGAUGUGAAAGCCCACGGCUUAACCGUGGAGGGUCAUUGGAAACUGGUUGACUUGAGUGCAGAAG
Molecule: ribosomal RNA, 305 nt
Filed under: uncultured bacterium
Lineage: Bacteria
Description: bacterial SSU rRNA
Rfam family: Bacterial small subunit ribosomal RNA
Source: RNAcentral